Molecule: ribosomal RNA, 253 nt
Filed under: uncultured bacterium
Lineage: Bacteria
Description: partial 16S ribosomal RNA
Rfam family: Bacterial small subunit ribosomal RNA
Source: RNAcentral
UACAGAGGGUGCGAGCGUUAUCCGGAAUUACUGGGUUUAAAGGGUGCGUAGGCCGUUGGGCAAGUCUGUCGUGAAAUGCUCCGGCUCAACCGGAGGACUGCGAUGGAAACUGCCCGACUUGAAUUGUGGUGAGGCUGGCGGAAUGUGGCAUGUAGCGGUGAAAUGCAUAGAUAUGCCAUAGAACACCGAUUGCGAAGGCAGCUGGCCAACCAUUGAUUGACGCUGAGGCACGAAAGUGUGGGGAGCAAACAGG